AUCGUUAGAGACUUUGCCCUUAACAUCUCUCUUUUAAAUCUGAGUCCAGGAAAUAGAUUUGGAACCGGAUCAGUCCCAUCCUCGACUGCCGUCCUUCUCUCGGAAUUAUAAACACCAGUGGAUUACAGCACGCUUCCUGCAUGUGCCUUCCAUGUGGUUCUAGUGUCAGCCUCACAAUCGCAAUCUCAUAUGAAUCUCAUUUCCCAAGGAACUGACCAAGGAACUCUGACCUCUUGCCUCAAUUGCUU
RNAcentral lists this long non-coding RNA (248 nucleotides) under Mustela putorius furo (domestic ferret). RNAcentral's name for it is "lncRNA (ENSMPUG00000026307.1)". Lineage: Eukaryota; Metazoa; Chordata; Mammalia; Carnivora; Mustelidae. The record is from RNAcentral.